RNAcentral lists this ribosomal RNA (429 nucleotides) under Chloroflexota bacterium. RNAcentral describes it as "Chloroflexi bacterium partial 16S ribosomal RNA". It matches the Rfam family "Bacterial small subunit ribosomal RNA", at positions 355 to 776 of the family's 1533-position model. The record is from RNAcentral. Lineage: Bacteria; Bacillati; Chloroflexota.
UGGGGAAUAUUGCACAAUGGGCGCAAGCCUGAUGCAGCCAUGCCGCGUGUGUGAAGAAGGCCUUCGGGUUGUAAAGCACUUUCAGCGGGGAGGAAGGCGAUAAGGUUAAUAACCUUGUCGAUUGACGUUACCCGCAGAAGAAGCACCGGCUAACUCCGUGCCAGCAGCCGCGGUAAUACGGAGGGUGCAAGCGUUAAUCGGAAUUACUGGGCGUAAAGCGCACGCAGGCGGUCUGUCAAGUCGGAUGUGAAAUCCCCGGGCUCAACCUGGGAACUGCAUUCGAAACUGGCAGGCUAGAGUCUUGUAGAGGGGGGUAGAAUUCCAGGUGUAGCGGUGAAAUGCGUAGAGAUCUGGAGGAAUACCGGUGACGAAGGCGGCCCCCUGGACAAAGACUGACGCUCAGGUGCGAAAGCGUGGGGAGCAAACAGG